UCAGACGAUGCGUCAUGCAUAUCAAUAAGCGGAGGAAAAGAAACUAACAAGGAUUCCCCUAGUAACGGCGAGUGAAGCGGGAAGAGCUCAAAUUUGAAAUCUUAAAGGGUUUCCCUUUACGAAUUGUAGUUUAAAGAAGUGUUUUCUGUUGAGGUUUUGGUAAAAGUUCUUUGGAAUAGGACAUCAUAGAGGGUGAGAAUCCCGUAUUUGACCUUUACUUUCAACUUUGUGAUACACUUUCAAAGAGUCGGAUUGUUUGGGAAUGCAGUCCAAAAUGGGUGGUAAAUUUCAUCUAAAGCUAAAUAUUGGCGAGAGACCGAUAGCGAACAAGUACCGUGAGGGAAAGAUGAAAAGAACUUUGAAAAGAGAGUUAAACAGUACGUGAAAUUGUCAAAAGGGAAGCGUUUGACACCAGUGUUGUUUUUCUGAAAAUCAAUUAAAGAACUGCUUUAUGCUAAGCUGUUUAGACUUUAUCAGCUAUCUGUUUAGUUUUGAGCUUUUCUUUAAUGCACUUUUCAGUUAACAAGUCAACAUCAAUUUCUUUUGCUGUAAAAAAGCUUGAGGAAGGUGGCUUGAGAUUCGUCUUAAGUGUUUAUAGCCUCUUGCCUAUGCAGUCGGAGAGAUUGAGGUCUGCAGCGUAGAUCCUUCGGGGCUAAAUGCAUUUGUGCUAAGUUAUAGCAUUUUAUAGACAACUUGUUGACUAUGAUUUGUCUUGUAGCUUACUCGCUUAUGUUAUUUUACCUACGCUUAGGAUGUUGAAGAUGUAGCACAUCAU
This 775-nucleotide ribosomal RNA is filed under the name uncultured Neocallimastigales. Its description in RNAcentral is "partial large subunit ribosomal RNA". It matches the Rfam family "Eukaryotic large subunit ribosomal RNA", at positions 18 to 635 of the family's 3401-position model. Lineage: Eukaryota; Fungi; Neocallimastigomycota; Neocallimastigomycetes; Neocallimastigales. The record is from RNAcentral.